AUCUUGAUGAAGUCCCAAAAGUUCAUUUUCGCUUUUGUUUCCUUUGCCUUUGGAGACAUAUCUUGAAAGAAGUUGCUGCAGGCAGGGUGACAGAGGUGGCUACCUGUGUUUCCUCUACCAUUUUGAAGGAUUCUUGUCUCACAUUUAGGCCUUUCAUCCAUUUUGAGUCUAUUUUUG
Long non-coding RNA from Lutra lutra (Eurasian river otter), 177 nucleotides. RefSeq lists it as uncharacterized. The record is from RefSeq and is a predicted model, not a curated record. NCBI's taxonomy places the organism in Eukaryota, Metazoa, Chordata, Mammalia, Carnivora, Mustelidae. The transcript has 3 exons.